This 84-nucleotide transfer RNA is filed under the name Candidatus Nesciobacter abundans. It matches the Rfam family "tRNA". Rfam says of the family: Transfer RNA (tRNA) molecules are approximately 80 nucleotides in length. Their secondary structure includes four short double-helical elements and three loops (D, anti-codon, and T loops). The record is from Rfam by way of RNAcentral. Lineage: Bacteria; Pseudomonadati; Pseudomonadota; Alphaproteobacteria; Holosporales; Holosporaceae.
ACGGUUGUGGCGGAAUGGUAGACGCGCAACGUUGAGGUCGUUGUGGGGGUUAACCCUAUGGAAGUUCGAGUCUUCUCAACCGUA